AUGGACUGCGCUGAAGCUGUCAUGAUGUUGAAUGCCAGGACGAUCGAUCGAUCGAGGGUCCGUGUGAUGGUGGAAGAGAUCAAGAGGAUGGUUGUUGAUGACCCUAGGGAGAUUUCUAUUACUGCUAUUAGUCGUUCGCAAAAUAAAGUCAGCCAUGCACUAGCUGCAUAUGGGAGGAGCACCCCUCGUACUGCAGUAUGGUUGGGCUCGGGUUUGAGUGACAUUGUAAAGCUUGUUUUGGCUGAUUUGCCUCCUUAA
This 258-nucleotide ribosomal RNA is filed under the name Triticum aestivum (bread wheat). RNAcentral describes it as "partial small subunit ribosomal RNA". Lineage: Eukaryota; Viridiplantae; Streptophyta; Magnoliopsida; Poales; Poaceae. The record is from RNAcentral.